RNAcentral lists this long non-coding RNA (961 nucleotides) under Homo sapiens (human). RNAcentral's name for it is "long non-coding RNA NONHSAT176294.1". The record is from RNAcentral. Lineage: Eukaryota; Metazoa; Chordata; Mammalia; Primates; Hominidae.
ACAUCUCUUGUGCUGCAUCAGUAAACAAAACUUCGGUUAGUUUUAUGAAAUGCAACAUCUAACCCCUUGUUUUCUGGGAAAAAGAAACUGCAAUGACUUGAAGUUGAGAAUGUGGAUACCGCCUCACUCACACACACUCAUUCUCAGACUGUAAAAAAUCCCUGACCCUCCUUCUAGCUGGCAAGCAUACAGUACCAUGUGGCAAAGGUACAGCGAAGGUGGGCUUGAGACCCAGGCUCCAUCUUUCUCCUCAGUAGCAAAGGCCAGGCUGCCUUUUACAACAAAGCACCACAGCUGAACCCAGUCCCUCCUCCUCCCCCAAACCAGGCAUUCCACUCGGCACUGGCCAAAAGACAGAAAAGCUACUUCUAGCCUCUCCUGGGAAGAGAUAACUUUCUUUCUUUUUUUUUAAAUAAGUAACUCCAUUGUUUUUCUCUUUUCCAAGAUGGCCGAUGUUAUGGUUUUCUACGAAGUCAGUGCUUACUUAGCUCACUAACAGCGCUGCUGUUGGCGGCUGCGGCUGCUGCUGUGGCAGGAUUUUCAAUGUGGUGUGUUUUCAAGCCUCACUCACUCAUCCUCUCAUUCCCAAACAUUCAGCAUCCGUGCACACUCCUCACUUCCAGGUUUUUCAAAAGAUGGGAGAUUUCCAGUGGGGGUCCUCAGGUUAUCAUCCCAAUGAUCUUACCAAGCUUGGUUCUUCAGUUUCCUCAGUUCUUUUGUUGCCCAUGUAGCAAGGGUUUUUGCUUUGUUAGUCUUCGAUCUCCGCCCUUCAGUUAACAAUUCAUGGAUCAUUGGCCUAGCUUCUACUAAUUUCAGUACAUCCUUCCCAAAUGCUGUACAUAAGUCCCUGUGCAAAACAAACACAGCUGAGAAUGAGCUCCUAGCCCCAUACCAGUAUAAUGUUUUGAGCCUUCCAAACCAGUGCUAUGGGUUUCUUAGCAAAUUUCAAAGAUAAAUAAAA